UUGAGCUGUAUGCGGGGAAACCCGCACGUACAGUUCUUAGGGGAGGAUGCGAUGGUAACAUCGCAUCUUUACCCGAU
This 77-nucleotide non-coding RNA is filed under the name Ditibartonella choladocola. Lineage: Bacteria; Pseudomonadati; Pseudomonadota; Alphaproteobacteria; Hyphomicrobiales; Bartonellaceae. The record is from RNAcentral.